Molecule: long non-coding RNA, 574 nt
Organism: Ipomoea triloba (trilobed morning glory)
Lineage: Eukaryota; Viridiplantae; Streptophyta; Magnoliopsida; Solanales; Convolvulaceae
Exons: 2
Source: RefSeq, a predicted model, not a curated record
AUUAGGCUAUUAGCUCCUCCUAAAGUGAAUACAUCAGAAAUAUGGCUACAUCUCAGCUUACCAAAACCAAUAUUAUUGUGCCUCUUCUUUUCUGCUUCCUUCUCAUUGCAGCCUUUGAGAUGGAAACCGCAGAAGCAACAUGUUGGGUUGCCUCAAAAACUUGGAACAGGAACUGCUACAAUAAUAUGUGCAAAAAUUGGUGCGACUCCCAAAUCCAAGGCCCUUACUACUGGAAGUGUGAGAAAGCCUGCGGCAAAAGCUAUUAUUCUUGUGGUUGCUACAAGAAUUGCUAGCUCAUUAUGCAUGCAUGCGAAUAUAUGAUCAAAUCAAAGGAACCAAUAUUUAUACUGCACGUACUGCUGCAUGGGUUGAUUAUGACACAAAAAUAAAAUCUAUAUAUAAUAUAUGGACAAGCUACAUUGCAUGCAUAAAGCUUGUUGUCCUUCUGUUGUGUGUUGUUUUCAAUAGUGUAUGUUGUUGUACUGUCUACUAUCAAAUAAAACGCAUGCAUUUGCAUGUUUUAUUAUUGUACAAUAAAAGAUAUGUAUAAAUAUAAUGGUUGUUGUAAUGUGUA